RNAcentral lists this long non-coding RNA (15682 nucleotides) under Capsicum annuum. Its description in RNAcentral is "long non-coding RNA (CANN_LNC002693)". The record is from RNAcentral. Lineage: Eukaryota; Viridiplantae; Streptophyta; Magnoliopsida; Solanales; Solanaceae.
UAUACCAAAUUGGAGAGUCGAGUAAGGUUCCAUCGAGGUUCCGGUCCGCAGUUCUGUCAUUACAUCAGAAAUGAAAAGUUACAGGCUAAAAAUAAAUAAAUAUGCAAAAAUCCUAUCUAUACAACUUCUUUUGGACUCGUGACUUAAGUUUCUUCACCCUGUUCUUCAGGGGGCUCCUGACUUGCCAUUUCUUCAGCUUGUUGCUUGGCUUUCAAUUGCUUCAUCUUGUUGCUUAACUUUCAUUUAUUUGCCCUGCUCUUCAGGUGGGAUCCUGACUUUUGGUUUCAUCAACUUCUGAUUUUAUCACCCUGCUCUUCAGGAAGGCGCCUGACUUAUAGCUUUAUCACCCUGUUCUUCAGGCGGCUUCCUGAAAUCAAAAUAAAAACUAAAACGAGAAUUAUCCCAAACAAAGAUUAUGAUGAAGAAAGAUUUCAUUUUUGAAAGUAACGUCCCAUUUUCUAGGAGGGUCCUGAAUAGAAAGUAAAAUCCCAUUUUUCAGGAGGGUCCUGAACAGAAAGUAAAAUCCCAUUUUCCAGGAAAAUUUCAUUUUUUAGGAGGGUCCUGAAUAGAAAGGAGGGUCCUAAACAGAAAGUAAAAUCCAAUUUUCCAGGAGGGUCCUAAACAUAAAGUAAAAUUCUAUUUUUUAGGAGGGUCCUGAACAUAAAGUAAAAACCUAUUUUUCAGGAGGGUCCUGAACAGAAAGUAAAAUCCCAUUUUUUAGGAGGGUCCUGAACAGAAAGUAAAAUCCCAUUUUUCAGGAGGGUUCUGAACAGAAAGUAAAAUCCCAUUUUCCAGGAGGGUCCUGAACAUAAAGUAAAAUUCCAUUUUUCAGGAGGGUCAUGAACAGAAAGUAAAAUCUUAUUUUUCAGGAGGGUCCUAAAUAUAAAGUAAAAUCCCUUUUUUUCAGGAGGGUCCUGAACAGAAAGUAAAAUUUCAUUUUUUAGGAGGGUCCUGAAUAGAAAGUAAAAUCCCAUUUUUCAGGAGGGUCCUGAACACAUAGUAAAAUCCCCGAGAUAUACUUUCCCAAUGAUAGCUGAAUUUACUGAAUAGAAACUUUUGCCCCUGUUUUAUCAAAGACAAAUUUGCCAGUUAACUUAGUGGUGGCUUGCAGCACUUGGCUUCCCAGGCAUCUGCUCCAGCACCCAUUUCUUUCAUCUUUGUUUCAGAUCACUGACACUUUCCCUUGUCUUGUUACAUCAUUGACCUAAACCAGAUUAGGGAAAUAACUUUGACUCAAACACUAAGCUUCUAUUUCACCAUGCCUCUGGCCCUUUGACAUAUGAUACUCCCAUGAAUUCAGUAAACUAUCAGUUGAUAGACUACCUUUUCCUUGCUUUGAAUUAUGAUCAUGUUCCUCUCACGUGUUGUCUUGGCUUUUUCUUAUACAAUUAGGAAGAGUGGUAGCAAGUUUUGAAAUUUUUUCUCGCUUAUUUUGACACAGAAAAGACUCAAACAUUGUAAAGAAAUGAUAGUGACUUUUCUUUUGAUGACAGACAUAAAAGGACAAAAUAUAAAUGUGUAAAUAAAAGAAAAGGGCAAUGUCCCUCUUUUUAACAAAGAAGAAAACUUAUCUAAAGAUGGCAACCAACUCCAAUGACUAUGGCAUGCACUUUGGAUUAAGUUGUCUGAUCUUUCCAUCCGAACUUCCCAUUUGUUGUUGAGUUCGUGCCUUUGCCACUGCUGCUUAUUCAAACCCAUUGUAUUCAUGCAUCUUAUUCAAUUGACAAUAUCUUGAAAGAUUUUCGCUAAUAAAUCUCUUUUCUUUUCACUUUUCUCUCGAACUCGCCAUCGCCUUACGGUGCCUAUAGGGUUUUCACCAAUAAGACUCUCUCAUUUCUUAUCUCUCUCAACUCACCAUCGCCUUAUGGUGCCCAUGAGGGUUUUCACCAAUAAGACUCUGUCAUUUUUAUUUCUUUCAACUCACUAUCGCCUUAUGGUUCCCGCAAAGGUUUUCACCACUAAUACUCUCUCAUUUUCAUUUCUCUCUUGAUUUCUUAUGCUGAGGAAGACAAGUAUUUCCCAAAAUGCAUCAUCAUAUCCAUUGCAUGCUUAGCCUUAACAUUCUCAAAGAUUGAUCUGAAGGUUUUUCUUUGGUCGUCACUUGGCUUUUGGAUAGGGUUAGAAAGAAAGGAUGACAUGAGGCCCAAACGACAUUUGAUGUGGGGUAGGACUUACAACUUUUGGAAUCGACUCAAACUACAAUAAUUAACUCAUGCCCCAGUUUUGUUGACUGGGUGACUCUAAAAUUUUUAUUUGGUUGGACCAGCCUCGAAUAGGGAAGCCUACAUAUCUCACUCUCAAGAGAGGAGAAUCAGGUCGCACGUAGUACCAUCAGCUUUUUCUUAUUAUGAUUUAAUUUUUAUUUUUUUUUCAUACUUACUUUUUCUUCUUUUCUUGACACUUUAUUUUUUACUCUGUUUUGAUUCCAAAAGAGGGGUAUGAAAGAAAAAUAAAACUAAGCUCAAACAGGAUAAACAAAGGAUGAUACACUGUUUGGAUAGCAAAAUGAAAUGCCUUCAUCAUUUCAUCUUCAAGAAUGCAAGUACUAAACAUGCAAUAGAACCAACAAAGGAUAAAAUAUCAUACUUAAUAUAUUUUGACCGCAUCAGUAUUGAUAGCCAUUUCUUCCAUUUUGCCUUCAAUAUCUGACAAAUAUAAGGCUCCAUUGGCCAACACUUUCUUCACAGUGAAGCGACCUUGCAAAUUUGGGGAGAACUUGCCUUUUGCUUUAACCUGGUGAGGAAGGAUACACUUCAAUACCAACUGAGCAGCUUUAAAUUGCCUAGGUCGUACUUUUUUGUUAUACGCUCGAGCCAUUCUCUUUUGAUACAAUUGGCCAUGACAUACCGACGUUAACCUUUUUUUCUCAAUCAAACUCAAUUAUUCUAGUCGGGUUUUGACCUACUCGUCAUCAUCAAUCUCUGCUUCCACAAUUACUAGAAGAGAGGGAAUUUCAACUUAUCCAAGAAUGACUACUUCUGUCCCAUACAUCAAUAAAUAUGGAGUUGCCCCUGUUGAAAUGCGAAUAGUAGUGCGAUAACCUAGCAAUGCAAAUGGCAACUUCUCAUACCAUUGUCUAGACCCUUGUAACAUUUUCCACAAUAUCUUCUUGAUAUUCUUAUUGGCGGCUUCCACGACGCCAUUUUCCUUUGGACGAUAUGGAGUGGAAGUUUGAUGUGUGAUCUUAAACUGUUGACACACUUCUUGCAUUAAGUGACUACUGAGAUUGGCAGCAUUAUCUGUAAUGAUCAUCUUUGGAAUUCCAAACCUACAAAUGAUGUUGGCAUGAACAAAAUCUACCACCUCCUUCUUUGUUACUAACUUAAAAGUUACUGCUUCUACCCACUUUGUGAAGUAAUCAAUGGCCACCAAAAUGAAUCUAUGCCCAUUCAACGCUUUUGGCUCAAUCGGCCUGAUCAUAUCCAUCCCCCAAGCUACGAAAAGCCAUGGAGCAAACAUUGUGCACAAUUCAGCGGGAGGAGAAUGUAUCCAAUCACCGUGUACCUGACAUUGAUGACAUUUUUUAACAAAACGAAUGGAAUCCCUCUCUAUAGUAAGCCAAUAAUAACCUGCUUUGAGAAUCUUCUUUAACAAGACAUAACCGUUCAUAUGAGGCCCGCAUACUCUAGAAUGAACUUCAACCAUGAUUGCCGAAGCUUCUUUUGCAUCAACACACCUCAAAAGUCCCAGAUCAGGGGUUCUCUUGUAUAAGACUCCUCCGCUUGAUAAAAAUCCACUAGCCAAAUGCCUAAUAGUCUUCUUUUGAUUAUUGGUGGCAUGUGUUGGGUAUUCUCCUGACUGGAUAUACUGUCUGAUAUCAAAGAACCAAGGUUCGCCAUCGAGUUCUUCUUCAACUGCAUUACAAUAAGCGUGUUGAUCAUGACUCUAUAUAUGCACUGAAUCGAAGUAGGCCUUAUCAGGAUGUUAGAGCAUUGAAGAUAAAGUGGCUAAAGCAUUAGCCAUCUUAUUGUGAAUUCUUAGAAUAUGCCUAAACUUUACAGACACAAACCGUUGACAUAGAUCUUUCAAGCAUUGUCAAUACGGUAUUAGCUUUAAAUCUCGUGUUUCCAAUCACCUUGAAUCUGAUGGACAAGAAAAUCUGAAUCCCCCAACACUAAUAGUUCCUGGACUCCCAUAUCAACAGCUAGCCUCAAACCCAAAAUGCAAACUUCAUAUUCCGCCAUGUUAUUGGUACAAUAAAAUUGAAGUUGCACUAUUACCAAAAAAUAGUGCCCCACCUUAGAGAUAAGAACUGCACCUAUUCCAACUUUCUUAUGUUAAAGGCUCCAUCAAAGAAUAAUUUCCAACCUAGAUUGACAUCUAUAAUGACUCAUUGACACACAAUACCUCUUCAUUAGGAAAAUAUGUCUUUCAUGGCUCAUACUCUUCAUCAAUGGGAUUCUCAGCGAGAUGAUCUGCUAAGGUUUGUGCUUUUAUGGCGGUUCGAGUCACAUAUACAAUAUCAAACUCGGUAAGCAAUAUCUGCCACUUUACCAAUUGACCCGUCGAUAUAGGUUUCUGAAAUAUAUACUUUAAUGGAUCUAUGCGGUAAAUGAGAUAAGUAGUAUAGGACGAAAGAUAAUGCUUCCACUUCUGUGCUACCCAAGUUAUGUCACAACACGUCCUUUCAAAAAGAGUGUACUUGGCUUCAUAUGUUGUAAACUUCUUGCUAAGAUAAUAAAUAGCUUGCUCCUUUUUCCUGUGACAUCAUGUUGACCCAAGACACAACUGAAGGAAUUGUUCAUGACUGAUAAAUAUAAGAUCAAAGGCCUAUCAGGAUCCGAUGCUACCAGCACAGGUGGAUUUGACAGAUAUCUUUUGAUUUUGUCGAAUGCUUCCUGACAUUCUUCAGUCCACUCCAUUGUAGCACUCUUUUUCAGCAACUUAAAAAUAGGCUCACACGUGGUUGUGAGUUGAGCAAUAAACCUGCUGAUGUAGUUCAGUCUUCCCAGCAAACUCAUCACCUCCAUCUUAUUCUUUGGAAGAGAUAGGUCCUGGAUGGCUUUGAUUUUUGAGGGAUCCAAUUUAAUUCCCCGACGGUUGACUACAAACCCCAACAGCUCUCCGGACAAAAUUCCAAAUACACAUUUUGCCUGGUUGAGUUUGAGAUUAUACCUGCGAAGCCUUUUGAAGAACUUUCUUAGAUCUUUAACAUGGUCAGCCUGAUUCUUUGAUUUAAUAAUCACAUCAUCUAUAUAGACCUCAAUAUUUUUAUAUAUCAUGUCAUGAAAUAUAGUAGUCAUGGCUCUCAUUUAUGUUGUUCUAGCAUUCUUCAAAUGAAUGGCAUUACUCAAUAACAAUAAGUUCUCCAUGGUGUGAUAAAAGAUGUCUUCUCUACGUCUUCAUCAUCCAUAAUAAUCUGGUGGUAUCUGGCAUAACAAUUCAUAAAAGAAGCAACCUCAUGUUUAGCGUAGUUGUCCAGUAAAAUAUGGAUAUUGGUCAACGGAAAAUCAUCCUUCGAACUUGCUCUGUUCAAAUCACGGUAAUCAACAUAUACUUAAAUUUUGCAUCUUUCUUUGGGACAGGAACAACAUUGGAUAACCAUGUAGGAUAACGAGCCACUCGAAUGACUUUGGCUUCAAGUUGUUUUAUGAUUUCCUCUUUGAUUUUGAUACUUAUAUCAGUCUUAAACUUCCUCAACUUCUGUUUGAUAGGGGGGAAUGCAGGAUCAGUUGGCAAUUUAUGGGCCACUAAUUCAGUGCUUAAGCCACGCAUAUAAUCAUAAGACCAUGCAAAAACUUCUUUAUAAUCAAUUAAUGCUUGAAUUAUUCUACCUUUUAAGAGUGGUGAAGCAUGUACACUUAUUUUAGUUUCCUUAACAUCUUCUUGAUUCCCUAGAUUAAUUGGCUCAAUUCCAAUCAGAGUAAGAUUCGGCUUGUCUUUAAACCGUUCCAACUCUUUGCUUAUUUCUUCUAGUGCCUUUUUUUCAUCAUAUUCCCCCUCUUAUUUCAUUAUAUCUGACUAGUUUGGAUUUUAAGAUCAGGCUAAAAAUUACGCAUGCAUGUCAUGUCAUUAGAAUCAGCAUAAAAAAACUGUAUAAAGAAAAGACAAAAACAAAAUAUAGUAAACACAAAACAAAAGGGAUAUUGCAUUUCAUUAAAAGGGAAAGAUAGGAGGGUUUAAACACAAACGACAACAGAAUAUAAACAAGCUAAAUUUUGAGUUACAACCCUGAAAUAACUCAGAAAACUGAAAGAAAAACAAAACAAACUACCAAAACUCCCUCCUGACAGGGAAAGGAGUGACUUCCCAAUUAUUGAGAUGGACAGCUGGACCUACAAACUGCACCUCUGCCGUACUGGUACCUUCUUCUGCUUCGACCAUGUCAACUUCAAAUAACAGGUUAUGACAAUCACCAACUGAUUCAACCUCAAACUCUAUAGGUUCCAUGACGUUGCUCUUGAUGAAUGAGUUACUAAGUAGAGGCAUUGGGCGAGGGAGUGACCAUGUUUCUUUCUUUCUUUUCUUGGCUUUCUUCAGAUCUUCAGCCGUAGGUUCGAAACCCAAACCAAAAGUGCCCAUGUUCUCACUUGGACAUAUGGGAUGAACUAUACCAUGUAGGGACACUCCUAAACCCUUUCCUAGCACAAAUCUAUACUUUAGCGGCUCAUUCACCAUCAUGACAAAAGUGGAAGACAAUCGUGGUCCCGGCAUAACCUGCCCCUCAAGAAUACGAUCCACCGACAUUGUAUCAAACAACUACUAGAUAAAUGUCUCCUCUACACCAUUUUCUUCAUUAAGAGGCAUGGAAGAAUCUUUGUGGGCGGACAAAUCCCCUUUGCUAUGAAUAACCAUUUCUUGCCUGUCAUGCUCAAACUUGAUUAUCUGGUGUAAUGUAGAUGCAACUUUCCCGGCUUUAUGGACUCAUGGUCUUCCCAACAACAGAUUGUAUGAGGAGUCAAUAUUCAGCACUUGGAACUCUAUGGCGAAUUCAACAAGCCCUAUAAACAACAUUAGUUUUAUUUACCCAAUGGAGUCUAUUUUGGCCCCAUAGAAAGCCCUGACACAUACAUUGUUCGGCCUGAUCCUCUCGACACCGAUGUUCAACUUUUGUAGGGUAUAUAUAGGGAAAAUAUUUGCACUAGAACCUCCAUCAAUCAUAACAUGAGUGACGUAGAAAUCUUCACACUUUACGGUAAUGUAAAGACCCCGGUUAUGCCUCGUACCUUUAACUGGCAAUUCAUCAUUAGAGAAGCUGAUUCGAUUUAGUUUAAAGAUUUUUUUGACCAUUUUCUCAAGCUAAUUUACAGUGAUCUCCCUAUGAAUAUAUGCUUCAUUUAAUACCUUCAGUAUAAUAUCACAAUGUUCCUUGGAGUAUAGCAACAAAGAUAAGAGGAAAAUUUGAGUAGGGGUUUUCUUCAGUUGAUUUAUUAUCGAGUACUUCGACAGUUUCAUCUUUCUCAAAAACUCUUCGGCUUCUUCUUCAGUGACAAACUUCUUGAGAGAUGAAGGACCACUCACCCCUGGCUUGGGCUUUCUCAAACCUUCAGGCACGAAGCAUCUUCUUGACCGAGUCAGACCCCUUACCUUAUCUACUUCUUCCUCAACUUUCUUUCCAUAAUAAGUUAUCACAGUCCACUUAUAGUUCCAAGGUACCUUUUCCAUAUUGGUGAUCGGAAGCUGGGUUGCUGGUUUGAUGAUAAUAGGCACCGCAAGUACUCCAUUUACUAUAAAAAUAAGCUUACUCGAAGCUCCUACCACCGUCAACUUAGGUUUGCCCUAACUUAGACCAACAACUAUUUCGGCUCCUUUCACCGUGAUCAUGGGUUUCUUUGUACUUUUUUGGACUUUAUCUUCUCCCACUUCUUUCUGUCUCAAUGGUAUUACUUUCAAUGAAUCUAUCACAUACACCGAUUUAUCUUCAUUGUUCUGUAUUCUAACAAUAGGCUUAUGACACAUCGAUGACUCUUUGCCACCAUAUAUCAAUUCCAAUAUAUUGGUUUCAGUAUGGGUUGGCAGCGGAUUUUGGUUGAUGUUUGAAACCUCCGGGGCUUGGACCAGAAUCUAAUUUACAUCGAUUAAAUCCUGGAUGGCUAUCUUCAAAUGCCAGUAUUUCUCAAUAUCAUGCCCUGGUAUGUCAGAACAAUACGCACACCUUAAAGAAUAAUCAAAAUUUCUUGGGGGUGGAUUCGAAAGCCUUCCUUGGAUUGGGCUCAAGACCUUCCUCUUUCUCAACCUAUCAAACAAGCUAGCAUAUGAAUCUCCAAGAGGUUUGAACUAAUUUUUAGCCAUCUUUUCUUUUUUAUACUCGGUCCUAGGUUGGAAACCAGGUCUGGAGAGGUUUUGGUAAUUUGGUGGGGCUGAUGGAUGAUUUUAUGGAGUUUGUGCAUGCCAUUGUGGGUAAUAAGAAGUUUGAGCAUAUGGUGGUGCGCUAUAUACUGGGUACGGGGGUGGUGGAAUAAAAUAUAGUGGGUUUUGCGUAGGGUAGUAAUGGUGGGGAGAAAUAUAUGGAGCUUGGGCGUAGGCUUGGGCUUGGGAUUGGGGAUAAGGGCGAGGCGGUAUUUUAGGAUAGGAAUGAGUUCCAGCUACGAUAGUCGCCAUGUCCUCUUUCUUCUUCUUACCUCCGAACGCUCCAGAUCUACCUUGAAUUGCUUGGGUAGUGGCUUUCAAUACGGUAAAACUCACUAUCUAAUCGGUCUUAAUUUUGUCCUUCAUCAUCUCUCCCAUUUUGAGGACUUCAAUAAAAUACUUUCCCAUUACCGGAAGUAAAUAUUGAAAAUAGGUCUCAUCCUGUGCUUGAAUGAAGACCCUUACCAGCUUACUCUCCUUUAUUGGAAGCUUUACCCUGGUGUCAUGUUCACGCCAUCUUAUCGUGUAUUCCUGAAAGCCUUCAGUACUUUUCUUCUUCAUAUUGACCAGGGAUUUCUCAUCAGGAACCAUCUCGAUGUUAUAUUGAAAAUGUUGGACAAACUAAUUAUCUAGGUCAUCCCAGUUGUUCCAAUUGUCAAUAUCCUGAUCGAUGAACUAUUCUGAAGCUAGAUCGGAAAGACUCUCGCCAAAGAAAUCCAUGAGCAACUCUUCUCUUCCCCUGCGUCCCUUAAUUGGUUGUAAUAACAUCUCAAAUAUGCCACGGGAUCACCGUGCCUCGCGUACUUCUCAAAUUUAGGCAUUUUAAAACCAAAAGAAAGGUUAACGUCUGGGAACAUGCAAAGAUCUCUAUACGAAACACUCUUAUAACCUUUGAUUCCUUGAAAAUUCCUCAUGGCCUAUUCCAAACUUUUCAAUUUCUGCGCUAUGACUUCUUGUUCCUCCGUUGCAAUAGUCUUCUACAUAUCAAAUAGAAAUGCAGGCGGCUGAGUGUACCCAUACAGUUCAUUCACCUUCAAAGUAGGUUCAGAGGCAUAAUACUGAUUAUCUAAAACCUUCAAUACUGGCUCACUAGUAGAACGAGGGAGUACCAUUGUCGGAUGCACAGUAUAGGCGGGAGCUUCAAGUGGUGGCAGAACCACGAACACAGGCGCUGCCGGUGGCGCCGGCUGAGUCGCGGGCCUUAGUUGAGGAACUUCUAGGGGCACACUAAAAGUGCCAGGGUAAUAUUGACGUGGAGUAAAUCCUGGUGCAUGCUAUGGUGACUCAAUGGGAAUAGAGAAUUGUGUCUGAGAGAGUGGUGGGCAAUUGGGGAUAUUCCCAAGAUCUUCAGGGAGUGGAGGAGGAGGCAUGCCACUAGCCCAUGCGCGGUGUAGAUCUAGCAAUUGUUGUCUAAGUCUCAAUACCUUAUUAUUGCAUUCUGAACUUUCUUCCCUGGGAUCCUGAUCUGGGUCAAUGAGUGAAUUUUCAAUCUCCCUACUAGCCAUGGAAAGCUUCUCUUUUGAUCUAGUGAAGUACGGAUGACUAGCCAGAGUGCUACAAACCAACCACUUAUCUGAAAGAACAUGCUCAUCAAAGACAAAACCCAUUAAGAUUAGGUCAGGCAACAAGCAUAGAAAUUACAUUGUAUACAUCCUAGGUUCAUGUACAUUUCUACCAGACUUAGAGGGUAAUAGGGCCAUUUUAACAUCAUCCCGAUCUUUCUCCUACACCCAUUUGCUUCUUUACUCCAAUCACACCUCUUUUUUCUUCCUUUUUUUCCAUCACUUCCUCAUCUCCCACGUCAGUCCUUUUUUAAUCCUUCUUUUCCUUCUCUCAUUAUUCUUUCUUUCUUUUCCUCUCUCGCUGUCUCUCUUUUUAUCAUUCUUUAUGGCUUUUUUUCCUUAAAAUAAAAGAAAAGCAAUGAAAAACCAAGAAACAAAAUGAUUAGAUCGAACCCAAAAGUAGGUUGCCUAUGUAUCAUAUUGUACAUGAAUCAUAUCUUGCAUAGUUCGGGCGAUAUAUGCACAAAUAUCACAAAAUUGAUGAUUUUUUAUUUUUCCCUUUUUUUUUGUGAUAUACAAACAAAACAAAAGGACAAUGCAACAACACCACAUAUUCAUAAGAGAGACAACUAAACAGAUUAAGACAACUUAAAAGUAGUCAACAAAUACUAAACGACACUCUAGACCUAUAGGACGACAUGUGUGACAUUCCUAAUAAAGACCUCAAGGUUAAAACAAACUUGACACGAACUUAGCAAAGACACAACAAUACAAUGACAGAAAAAUAAAGGACUCAAACUAAAUAAAAGAUAAGAAGUGCUCCUUCAAAUUGGUGCGCUGUGUGAUGACCCUGGCUGAGAUAGACCUGUCUGUGAAGUUCUCUUUCUCCCACUCAAACUCUGUAGCAUAUCCUGCAAGGACACUUUGAUAUUUGGGAAGAAGCUUCGGGCACGUAUUCCUGCCUCAUGGUGAGUACACCUGAAAAGACUGUUUUGGAAACCUUCCAUAGUUAUGAGCAAACCUGAUAACUGAACUCUCAAUAACUCCAUUUUAUCCCCCACACCUGCAUCCCUCUCGUUAUCACCUAUGCUUGCUUCCUGUGUCCGUCCUCUAAGUUACAUGGGCAGUGGCCUACUAAUACCCUGAGGUAUGGAUUGUAGCCAGAUCUCAUAUUUCUGAGUGUACCCCAGAUUAUCCAAACUUUCUUAGAGAGUAUCCACUCCCAGCUUUAUUGCAUGAUUCCAGAAAUGCUCGUAUUUUCUCUUGCCUAAGGCUUAGUCCUUGAAGUACUCGAUAUCCUUUUGAAGAUCCACUACUGGUGGCAUGUCCUGUGGCCUAACCAACUGGUACAUUACCCUAGAAGGAGUGUAUAGUCUAGUGCAAUUAAGCCCUAACAUAACCAAAAAGAGUUACAUCUGACAACCUAACAAGAUUACUUUCGAACGAAGCCACAAAUAGGUCCACAAAAUAUUAUCCUCAGUCCUUAAUUCGAGAAACUCAAUCCAAGCAUCAACUCCCAUGGGUAGAGAGAAUUUAUUCAAGCGCAUCUUGAGGUCCAUGGCUUUCACUCGAUUGGGAAUGCAACGAUCAAUCACGUCCGAUCUAACUAAGAAAGGCGUAUGCAAAUGCUUCAUUAUCCACAGUUGAAAAAUUAAGUUACUGCCCUAAAAAAAUCUCAUCCCCCCUUCACCUCGGUUAGAUCCUUGUAUAUUUCUGUUAGAUCAUGGGUAUGAUAGUAACCCAACUUUGUCCUUUUGCUUAGUGACCUUGUCCUUUUGCUUAGUGCCCUUGUCCUUUUGACCCUUAUGAAAUAGAGCCAUCACCACAGAUUGCAAACGUGUAUUAACACGUCUUUGUUUUUUCGGAAACACUAGAGUGCCUAACAAAGUAAGGGUGAAGACUUUAAGAUGCUUUCUUUCCCAAUUUUUCUUAGUCAUAUAAAAUUUAGCCCAAAAGCAGGAAAAACCUUCCAAAGACCCGAAUCUCGCGAAUAAAAAAUCCAAGGAAAUCCAUGAUUGAUUCAGACAACCCAAAUGCCUGUUGUUACUUUUCAACCCACAACCUUGCAGAAACCUAUUGCCCGAGUGGUUCCGAGCUCGGAUCAUGCUUUUAUCAAUAUAAGGCAAAUGGAGCAGACCAAAUAUUUCUGCCAAGGUAGGCAUCAUCUCAUACUUUCCGAACCUAAACACUAAAUUACUAGGAUCCCAAAAAGUCAAUAUAGAAUCUAUCAGAUCUGGCCAGGGUGAGAUAUAUAGAAGCUCUGUAAGAUCACCUAAUACUUUAAUUAGCUUUUGCUGGUCAACAUAGUUGAACGUGCCCCACCACUUGAUUAACUUUUUAGGCACCUUGCCAACCAUUCGGACUUGAGACUUUAUGGACAGAUCCAUCCUGUAAUGACACAUAAGAUAUUAUCUCAAAAUUCAAUAGGAAAGAAAGAUUCCUAACCCUUGGGACUUUGACGCGGACAUAUGUUGAAGGGACAUACCACUAUAUGACUCCAAAUCGCUUAACAGUAGCACUGGAUAAAAUCAGCCUACUUGGCUAAGAUCUGCUAACAACACUAAAUUUUAAGGAGAAAGACCUAGGCUAAGGAUAAGACAAAGGCUAAAAUAAAGAUUACCGGACCCACCGAGGGUUGCCUACGUAUAUCACCCCGAGGGACGCAAAUCAGGUAUGCAUAGUUCGUGAAGUUUGCUAAAAUGGACAAUCAAUUCUUUUUCCUUUUUUUCUUUUUUAGAAACUUCAAAAAUAAUAAAUUGUCAAAAGAAUUGACAAAAAUCUUUUUUUAUUUUUUAGGUUUAAACUCCCUAUACAAAACAAAACCUAUGAUUACCAAAGUAAAAUCUUUUUGGGUUUUUAAUUUUUGAAUUUCAUAUGAAAAUGAAACUUGAAGAUAUUAACAAAAAAUCUUUUUGUGAUUUUCUUUUAAAGAUGUUUAGGAAACACCUACUUUAAAGGAAGAGUGAAGAAAAUCUUUUUUUAAAUUUUUUCAAAUAAGAUCCCCAAACUAACAAUAGGCUGCCUGGAGAAUCAGAGGUGCGUAGUUCGUUCAGGUUGAAUAAUUAAGGAUUAAAAUGAACUAAGACUUGAAUUAAGAAACGCGAUUACAGACGAACGAUGGAAAUAAAAUCUUUUUGAGUUUUCAAUUAGACACUUCUCACAUAACUGACACCAACAACUAUGAAAGAGAGAAGAAAUCUUUUUGGUAUUUUCGUCAUAUGAGAUAUACAAAGCUCCUACCAUUUUUGUUGACAUUUUUUCUUUAUAAAAGCUUCAAUUAAAAAAUCAUUUUGAAAAUUUCGAAUUAUGAAUGGAGGGUAAAGGAACAAAAGAAAAUCUUUUUGAUGUUUUUUUUUUCAGACAAUGAGUGCGAAGGUAAAGAAAAAUCUUUUUUCUUUUGAAUUUUUGAAUUGUGAAAAACAAAAGCCAUAAAGAACUUUAAAAACUCUCUUCUUUUUUUCUUUCUUUUUUUCAAUUCAUUGCCUACACACUUUACUUCUAACAUAUGCUUUCCCUAAAUUAGUCCGUCAAAUGACCACGUUACCCUCAGAGAUGCAACAUUUAGCAUGUAGGGAUGAUUUAAAGGUGAGUUUCCUACGAAGGACCAAGUGUACCCCGCUAGGUCUCAAUAUGAUGCACAUAAGCAUGACCUAAAGGCUGACCUACGUUAGGGUUUACUAGCAAGGCUGUUUGGGAGAGCGUAUGGUCGAUAGUGGCUUGCUUUAGCUGGCCACCUACUCCAUACAACCCAACGACUGCCCCCCCUAAAAUAAAGGUAACUCAACUAUAGGUCGUGUACACACGUGUACUACAGACAUGUUACAGAAAGAAAGACUCGGGUUAUGCACAUGAUGCCAGAUAUAAAGUGGUAACACAUAAAGAAAAAACUGUAAAAAAAGAGCAUGUAGGAACUCAACAAUGAUAAACAAUAACACAAAACAAGACAAACAAAAUGUCUAUACACCUAUAGUGCUAAGCUAAGCCGAUACAAACUCCAAAAUAAGCUCGAAUUUUAAAAAAUCCCCAGUGGAGUCUCCAGAGCUGUCACACCCCUUUUUUUACCAAAGAUAUUAUAUUUUAAGUUCGAAAAAUGAUUUUUUAUUAUUGAGUGACAAAAGAUGAAAGUUUGCUUUGAAAAAAGAUUAUUUACAUUUUUUUAUUCAGAGUCGCUACUUGGCAUAAUUCGAUAUGCCAAGUCACCUUUGGAAAAUCCUUUCCAAAACUGUUUGACUCUUUGAAACUGGUUUGCGAAUAGAGAUUCUGGCUAAGGAAUUCUAUUGAUCGAGGGGAAUGUGUUAGGCACUCCUUAAUUCCGUGGUUUGACCAUGGUCUCAUGGUGAAGCGUAUCGGCUAAUUUUAGCACUAAGGACGUAUAAACCACAUAAAAUAUAUAAACAAGCAUCCUAAAACACGAAACAAAAUAAAUUUAAAAUAUAGUGUUCAGUCCAAUUAUUCAGUCCAAAAUAAAUAAAAAUGUGAAAAUAAAUCCUAUCUAACCUACACUAAUCCUAACUAUGCUCCCGUGCUUUACUCGAUGCCUUGGGCCUUCAUAACGAAAGUCUUCCUCCAACAUAGUACGUCGGGGUAUUCCCCGAUGAAUAAAUACAAUGUGUCUUGGGAAAUUCCCUGGCUAAAUGAAUACAUUUGAAUUAAACGCGAUAAACUAGAAAGAAAUAUUCACACGCACAUUUCAUCAUUCAACCAAAACAAGUUCUAAAAUUUACCUACCUGAACCUAUAUUGCCUAUCCGUUUCAACAUAUCAUAAAUCUAUUACGUUUUGGCAAUAUUCAUGCUCAUUCCGAAAAUGACAAAGAACCAAGAAUCUAAAUUCACUAUUUCAUCAAAUUUUCAAUUCUCACUCCCCAAAUUCCCUUUUAAUACCAAAUUUUCACAAUUCGCGAUCCCACUUCAACAAUCCUCAAUCACUUUAUUCAAAAUUAACAACAAAUCAACAUCACUCAAUAUUCCAUCAUCAAAUGCAUAAACAACAAUGAAAUCAAACGAUGAUAAUCAACCAACACGAAAUCAUAGACGAUUCAACCAAUUGAAAUAAAGGAAAGAGAAUGGGUAAAGAAAUGGACCUCAAUAGAACGUUCUUGUAGAUAAUAAAAAAGUCCAAAAAUCUAAAUACUCGAGCAAGGAACCCUAACAAUGAGCAAACCAAACCCAAAUAUAGAAAUCCAACUCAGACAGAUUCGAGAACCGAUGGAGAAUCUCGAGAUGAAUGAUUCCAUCCCAGUAUAAAAAAACAACACCAAUGACAAAAUCUAGUCCUGAUUUUUUGGUAGAAAAACUAAGAACCCCAACAAACCGAACUCCGGUGAGGUAACAAUAGCAAAAAUCGAUAGGAAUAGAUCAGAUUCUGGAGAAUUUUGGGUGGCUUGAUGUUUUUCUGGAGACUCUUUAACGUUUUCGGCUAGUCAUGGUUUGAAAUUGAAGGAAACGAUGAAAAUGCGUGUUUUUCUUUACGAAGAAACGACCCCAAAAGAAAUGGAUUUCAAAGGGGAGAAAAAAAAUGACGAAGAUGGCAGUUUUUUUUUUAGUUGUUUCUGUACCCGUGGAGAAGAAAGAAAAAAAUCAAAAAAUAUGGAGUCCUCCCAUAUCUGUGUGUGUAAGUGUUCCUAUGGAGAAGAAAGCCCAAGAGAAAAAAAUCCUUUUUUUUAGUGUAUUUGUUCCCGUAUGCCUUUUUAGUGAAUGGGGAAGAAGACCCCUCCUUUUUGUCUUUGUUUGUAUGUAUAUAUUAUUAAUACCCUCUAGAAAAAUCCUGGUUGUCCCUAUGUGGAAAAUAUAUUGUUGAGGGAUUUUUGGGUGGUCCCCCUAGAUGUCCUCUCUUGUGUCUAUAUGUAGAUUAUAAACAAAAUGGUCCCCUCUUUUUUUAUCCUUGUCAUCU